CGAGUGGGAAACGUUUAGUCGCUGACAGCGUCCCACCCACACCACACACAGCUUAAUCACCAUUUCGCCACAUCUUUAUUUAUUGUUUUUACACGAAACGAUACGACCCUCUGCGUAGUGCAUACCCAAGAGUAAGUACUAGAGAGAAUACGUUCAUCGGGUCCCUGGCGCGUACUAGGCAGCAGCAUCAGCAGCCGCAUCGUGCUCGCUUCCUUGGAGAGCCGGCCGGGAUUCCCACGACGCUCGCCAGGAUUUUCGCCAUCGCUAGGGCCCGACGGCGUCCACGUUGCCAGCUUCUACCCCACAUUCUACUCGCACGUCCUCCAAAACGAAAGCGAAUCAAAAUUAGCGCAGGACAGCGCACCAACACGCGAUACGACACACACACACACACCAAAGAAACAAUCUUUCAUCUCUUUGCCUAUCUUGUGUCUCCAUCUACAUGUCGGAGCAGCGCAUCACUGUCGCGGUGCGCAUUCGUCCGCCCAUCGGGCACGAGCGCUAUGAACCCGUGUGCGCUCGCAAAGCCGACGAUGACCAGACCAUCACCAUCAACGCAGAGGAGACGUCCGCGAGCGUCAGCGGUGUCAGUGUCUUUCAAUUCGACUACGUCUUCGACGAGACCGAUGACCAGGUCGCUGUGUACGAGGAAAGCGUGCAGGAGAUGGUCGAUCACGCCCUCUCAGGCUUCAGCGCCACCGUCUUCACGUACGGCCAGACCGGCUCAGGCAAGACCUACACCAUUCUAGGAAGCAAGUCAGCGGACGGCAAAGUCACGGAAGGGUCCGGCGCCUUCAUGCGCGUCUUCGACGACCUGUUCACGUACAAAGAAGCCGUCAAGGAUCGAACCCACAUUGUCAUCGCCCUCUCCGCGCUGGAGUUGUACGUCGAGGACGUUAUGGACUUGCUAAUGGACAAGAAGAAGCUGAAGCUGCGCGAUACACCAGAGGAGACGAUCACCGUUGGCAUCAAUACAGUGGAAGUGCACACCAUGGCGGAUGUCGAGCGCAACUUCGACGUUGCAAACUCCUUCCGCUCCGUGACGGCCACGAAGAUGAACGACACUAGUUCCCGCAGCCACGCGCUCUUCUUCAUUGACAUUUUCCAAAUUCCGGUCGAGAAGUCGCCGCAGGCGCCGAAGGUGUCGCAGCUCAUUGACGAAACGGGCAUGUCUCUGUCCAAGGGUGUUGCCGGUGUCACCAAGUCCCGCAUUGCCCUCGUUGAUCUUGCCGGCAGCGAGCGAGUGAAGCGCUCCGGUGCUACUGGGCAGGCCAUGGUGGAGGCCCAGGCAAUCAAUAAGUCGCUCUCCACCCUCGGCACGGUCAUCAACGCCAUGUAUCUGCAGAAUCCACACAUUCCGUUCCGCGAGUCAAAGCUGACAAAGCUGCUGAAGCCGUGCUUCGUCGAUACAACCUCGCGUCUGCUACUGAUCGGGCAGGUGGCGCCGCCGUCAAACAGCGCCUCCGAGUCGCUGGGGACUCUUCGCUUCUGCGACCGUGUCAAAGGGCUCAAGGCGGGGCAGGUCAUGGGCUUCACCGAUCCAGCCGCCGAACAGGCCUUUCUGCAGUCGCGCCGCGUCAACGAGGAGCUGCUGGCCGAGAUGCAUAUCCUCCAGGCACAGUACUACUACGAGGCGGUGAACGUGCGGCGCCUCGCAGCGGCCAAAAGCGUGCCCGUGGACCAGGAGCGGCAGCGCAUCGUGGCAGAGCUGCAGGCCGGCGCUGCGGAUGUUGUCGCGCGCAAGGAGCGGGAAAUGUUGGAGAAGGCGGAGCGCAAGGCGAUUGCGCAGCGCGACGCGGCGGUGGAGUCGUUUGUGCUCCACAUGAACUCUCUCAUCGAGGAGUACGAGCAGGUCGCCCACACCGUCAAGAGAGAGAAGAAGGCGCAGAAGAAGCUGCGGGAGGAGAAGAGGCGGAGCACGAGGUGCGGCUGCGUGAGGCCAAAAAGGCCAAGAAGCACCGGCUCAAGUUGCAGGAGGCCGUCGCCGAGGCACGACAGAACCUUGAGGCCCUGGACAGGGAGCUCGUGGCUCUUGAUAGGCAAAUCGAGGUGGUGGGAAAAGAGAACGCGGCUGGUGUGAUCGACGGCGUCGAUGAUGAUGCUGCGUCUCCGAACAAAGCGAUAGAUAGAGCGGUCGAGGAGGCCACGCACGGUCUUGUGGAGUCCUUUUACAACCAUGCGACGGAGCAGAGCCGUCUCUACUCGAUGUUUGUGUCGCGUCUGGCUGCCACAAGACGGGAGCGGUCGCGGGUGCGACGAAUGAAGCUGAUGAGCUCCACCUUAGUGACGGAUGGUACCCUCCUGUACGACCUGAUCGCUUUUCUCAUUGAUCGCGCCGUCGACGUGUCGGAGGGCGACCUGCCGCUUGGGGCGAAAUGGGGCUGGCACGACGUCGACGGCCUUAGCCAGCGUCUCCUCUGCGCAGACGAGAUGUACCCGCCCCUGUUGCCGUCUGCGUGGGAGCCGCUCCACGAGGAGGCCAAGCCGUGUCUGGAGCAGCCGCACAGCAUCACCUUCCUCAGCUCCGACGAGAGCGAUGGUGAGCACUCGCACCACGCCGCGGAGUCUCGCCGCAUCCGGCAGAUUCGCGACGCCGCCGCCGCCAAGGUUGAAAACCUGAACGCCUUACACGCCGACGGCGAGGAUGAUAAGCAGCACGAGACGAGUAACGGGGGCGGAUCUGAUGGAGACGGCCAUGACGGCAAGGAGAGCAGCGAAGAUUCGGCUGGUACCCCGGCGCCGCACGCGCACGAGUCGGACUGGAUGAAUGGCCAGCUUCUAGGGCGGACGCCGCCGCAGGAUGCGGCGCUGGCAGUGGCGAAUACAGUAGAAGAUGCGCCGCCUCUGGCGACGAAGGCAUGCGCGCGUCGAAAGAGGAAGGACGGGGCAGCUGCGGCUACUGUUACAUCUCCGAGUAACGGGAACGGCGAUGCAUCGACCAGCGACGCCGCGGCAGCCUCUGCGACGCGCUCUCCGGAGGACAGGCCAGGCCGACAUGGCAAAUCAAAGGGUGUGCCGGCUGCAGUGACGGCCGUAUCAGAGGGCAGCUCUAGCGAUGAGCCCGGUGACGAGUCGAGCGGGACGGAGUCCUCGGCGUCGCCAUCAGAGAGCGACAGCGAGGACGAGUCGCCGGAGGAGGCAGCCGCGGCCAAGGGUGCCGCCCACAAGGCUCAGAAGAAAGAAGCGCAUGAAGCUGCGCGCGAAGGCAGAGGCGCCGAGGAGGACGCGCUCCCGGUGGGCGCGCCGAACCCAUCCUACCAAGAAAAGGACUCCCGAGCGCUGAUGAAGGUGUACGACUCGCCCACCCUCGUGCAAGACCUCAUCCGGUUCCUCCGCAGCGGCACCCGCAUGCUCAAACACUGCCGCCGCGGCAAGCCCCAUGAGCGCAUCUUCUGGGUCUCCACGCAGCGUGGAAAGAAGGAGCUCUUCUGGAAGGAACCGGACUCGCGGAGCGUUGACUACUCGUGCAUUCAACUGUCCGACGUCAGCUUCAUUCAGCUUGGGUGCUUUGGUAAAGUGUUUUCCCGCCACCGCAUUCCGCCCAAUGAUCCCGCGUUCUUCCGCGCCUUUACGAUCGGGCUGAAGCAUGGUGGGCGAACCGUAGACAUCGUGGCAGAGACGCUGCCCGACUACGAAGCGUGGGUGGUGGGUCUCUCUCACCUCGUCGGCGUCGACCCCUUCUGGGGCGGCAAGAUCGACCUCACGAUGGAGAUCGGCACCGAUCGCCUCACCUAUUUCGAGUCGAGCGUAUGUGAGGCAAACUACAUUCACCCCUUGGAGUACCUGGAGCUGAAGAAGCGUGUGCAGCACGUCGCGGCGCGCACGAUUCAAGUGCUGGAGGAGUCUGGCCAAGACACCGCGCGUGCCCAGGCGAUUCUCGGCGGCAUCCAUCCACCUGCCGUGAACAGCAACUGUGCAGUGUACAUGACGAAAGGCGAGCUGCGGUUUUUGUUGCCCGAAACCUUCGACAUUAUUCGCGUGUCGCGACUGUGGAUGCUCUUCCAGCAGAUGAACCUCGUCUACGACGACAACUUCGCCCCCGCUACCGCGUUCGGCAUCACGGUGCGCGAAUCGUGAAGUUGCAUGUCUGCCAGGAUGCAGCGACUUUCCGCUUGUCAGGCUAUACGCCUGUCCUGUGUACGUGUCGGGCUGUUCCUGUGCGCGCGUGCGAGUCUACAUGAGUUUAUCUGCGCUCGGCCAUGUAGCGCGUGGCUGUGCGGCUGCCGCUCCGGCGACCCGCAUACGCAAUCCUCUCGUUCUCGCUCACAACGUCAUUAUGAAUGGGGCCAUCAGAGGCGACGAGGGGCACCGCUGCUCCGGGUAGCUCUCUACGCAAGGGCCUUGGCGCCGGGCGGCCCGCCCCCUCCUUUCUUCUCAGCCUAUAUGCAUAUUCCUACUUGUUUGUAGGACUCCGCUUCGCAUAGGAGCACCGGAGCCUUGAGAACGGCAAGAUUUCUGUAGGACGCGCUUGUGUGCAGGAAAGCGCGGAGGUGGUACUGAGAGUGCCGGCAGGCCUACCCGUUGCGUUGAUCACUGUCAUUGCGUGCGCGCGUGUGCGACAGCGAAAGUGGCAUCAUUAUCAUCAUCGCACCGCGCGUUUUGCACGUUGGCUAGUCUUCUAUCAUUCUUAUUAUUGCCCGUCCCCCUCCCCUUCGCCUUAUUUUGCGCGUGCAUGCACAUGUGUUUGGACUCUCUUUGUGAACCUGCAGCGACCCACUGCCGAGGGCUCAUUCUUUCCUUCCUUCCGCCUGUCCGUCCUUUGCUCUUGACGUGGUUGGCGGCCGUCCCCUUUCGCCUGCUGUGUGCCGCCAUCGCCUCUGCUUGCCUUGCCCUUUUUCGCCUCAGGUGUUGUUGCUAACCUUUUCACACAAAAGAUAUAUGAUGAUAUACAUAUAUACACACAAAUAUACGUAUAUAUGUAUAGAUAUGUAUAUCGGUUAGCAGCGCGGGUGCCUCGUGCGCGACACUCGGUUCCUCCUUCCUUUCCUUCGGCGUUUUGGCCGUGUUUUGUAUGCCUCUUCGCUGUGGUUGCGUCUUUUCAGCAUCGUCUUCCUCUUUGCCUUUUCGAUAUCCUGGCCUCUUCGGACUCGUCCACGUUCGCGGUAUGGG
Molecule: unclassified non-coding RNA, 5109 nt
Filed under: Leishmania donovani
Lineage: Eukaryota; Euglenozoa; Kinetoplastea; Trypanosomatida; Trypanosomatidae
Description: gene:LdHU3.30.1950(CDS-product:kinesin_putative)
Source: RNAcentral